AGUGGAAAGCAUUUCACACUUGAUUUACUGAGAGUUCUUUCUUUCUCUCUCUCUCUCUCUCUUUUUUUUUUUUUCCCCUCUGAGUUUCCCUGACUUUUUCUUAUGGCUGAAUUUCCACAGGACUACGUGGGAAUCUGAGCUACACAGGAGGCUGACAACCAGAAGAAUUGAGCGAUCAUGCCCUCAGACUUUUUCUUUGAUGGUGCAGGUGAAGGAGAACAGAAACAUGAAAAUACUUCAGCUCUUCAGGCUCUCUUACUCUUUCUCUGCAGAAACCAUUUUGUGCAGUGCUCCAGGAGCCAGCUGCUUCACUUCAAUCAAGCACAGCACAGUUUCAGGGUAACUAAAAGAAAAUGAAGGAAAGGAAAUGCCUCUCCUCCGAAGUAGCUUACAUAAAGGCAUUGGAAAGAAGGCCUAAUUCUUCUACUGGGUAAAAUAUUUUUCAUUUAGACCUGAAAAUGGAUGCAAUUUUCUGCAGAUAAAACUGUUUAGUGAGAUGUGCAGAAUACUGGCAUAUCCAUCUGGCGAAGUUUCACAUGGCAGUGCCCCUGUUUUUCAGUGCUGUUCAUGUCAUUUUUUCAUGGGGCAGAAGCAGAGCUUGCAGCACUCAUAGCCAAGCAGUGCUAAGUGGCGCCAAGCAGUGCUAAGUGGCAUCAAGCAGACUCAUGUCCAACUUUCUGGAAAAGUGCAUGGGAAUUACAAAUGGAGCUCUGAGGAUCAAGCAGGGAGAUGAACAGGGAAUUUGUUAGGGGAUAAAGGAUAAUCUAUGCUAUCAAAGAGAGAGCAGAAAUGAGCCUGAGUCCAGCCAAGAAAAAGAGCAGAAGAGGUGCUCCCAUCACAGCAGAUCAGCUCUGAAGGCCACAUGGUGCCUUGGGUACAUGGAUAAGCUUGGUUUGAAGAGAACAAGAGCAGCUGAGUGUGCAACUUAAAUGAUGUUGGUGCUGUCUCUCCAUGAGUAGGGCCAACAGUGGGCAGCUUCAGGAGGGCAUGUAGGUUUGGAGCAGGUGAAAGUAGCAGUUCUAUAGAAAGCUGCAGUGUUUCAUAGAGUCAUAGAGUCAUAGACCAGUUUCAUAGAGUCAUAGAAUAGAAUCACAGAAUUGUUUGAUUUGGAAGGGACCUUUAAAGAUCAUCUAAUCCAACUCUCCUGCAAUGAACAGAGACACCUACUGCUACAUCAGACGUUCAGAAUCUCUUCCAGCCUCACCUUGAAAGUCUUCAAGGACAGAUUGUGUUGCUUUGGACUGCUUUGAUUGCUUCAUGAGUCAAGGAAACCAAGCAUACUCAAAAAAAGUUGACUGUAUGUGAGCCAACAAGUACUGCAGGACUUUUCUCUCAUAAAUCUGUGUGUAGUUAAGAAGAUACUUGAAUGUAGUAAAAUUAGAGAAUCUGAGUUUUGACAGCAAUGCUAGGAAUUCCUUGGAUAGAGAUGGGGGAGAAAGAAAGAGGUGCAGGUGCUGUUACUUCAAUAUUUUGUUAGCUGCUUGGUGUUACUCUUAGUUCUUAUGCCAGGUGUUGGUGCCAGGUGUUUUGAACAGCAACAACUGUUAGGUACAGCUGUAUCCACCAUGCAAAGUCAAGAAAUUAGACAGUGCUCUGCUUUUUCAAAAAGGACAGCAGAUGUUAAUAUCUUGUAACUUUUGACUGUGAAGGGAAGAACAAACAAAACCUUUUCUACUGACAAUGUUUAAACAAGUUCUAAGGCAGGCUGCUUUAUCCUUUCCUACAGUCAAGAUAAAAUAAACCAAACCAGACUGACCAAAGAAGGGAAGAAUGGAGAAGUUUUUUUUCUACCUAGCUUCCUCCCUCCCCUUAUCCACCCCCUAUUCUCUGCAACAAAAAGUUGAUUGAAUCAUGAAAGUUGGGAAAUUCAGCAUUAUAGAUUACAAGAAAUGCAGCUCGUCUUCUUUCUUUAUUGAGAGACAGAGCUGCCUUCUAGCCACUGUUUCAGCCAGCCCUUUUCAGAGCCCUGUUAACAACAAUCUGGCUGAGCAUGGCAGUUUGACAGGACUGGGAUGAUUCUUAUUGUUUUGCUAUUGCCUUUCAGUCAAGCUGCUGCCAUUCUGCUGUUUGGCUACCUUGACUGACAGUGUGCAAGUGCCAUGUUUCUGACUUGGGGACCUUUCUGUGGUCAAGUUGCGUGCAGCUUUGCAGAUGAGAAUUCAAAUGAGUAGAAGUCACAAAAUUAAGACAUUGAAAUUACAGCCCCCACACCAGUGUGCAGUCAACCACAAAUUCAAAACAUGGUGUGGAAUGAUGGGAAGAGCAAUGUGAGAAUCACUUCAGCACAGAGUUUAGCCCCAUGUUUUUCAUGCAAUGAAAUCUGUAUUUUGCUUUAUACAAUGGACAAAACUUGCUGAGGGGUGAUUAUCUUCUGUUUUCUGUUUUGAGUCCAUUUACUCUGUGCAGAAUUUUUGUUUUAUUUCAAAAUAAGGUGCAUGUGAAGGAGUGGGUGUGAGUAUAUGUCUGCUGUUUCUCAGUAAACUACUGUUAUUUUUACUUUGCAUGUUGCAAAUAUCACAUAGAUGCCUGAAACUGUUUAAUCACAUAUCUUCUGAUCUGGUCACAGAAUCACGCAGCUCUUCAGUUACUUUCCUGCAUGGACUAGUUUUCUAGUCUCAGUUUAUAAUUGUAGAAUCAUAGAAUUGCUUGAGUUGGAAGGGACCCUUGAAGGCCAUCUAGAUGAACACCCCUGCAAUGAACAGGGACACCUACAGCUGGAUCAGGGUGCUUGGAGCCCCUCCAGCCCGACUAUCUCCAGGUGGCUUCCACCACCUCUCUGGCCUACCUGUUCCAGUGCCUCACCACUCUGAUUGUAAAAUAUUUUUUCCUUAUAUCCAGUCUAAACCUCUCCUCUUUUAAUUAGAAACCGCUUUCCCUUAUCCUAUCACAACAGACCUACUAAAGAAUCCAUCCACUUCUUUCUUAUAACCCACCUUUAAGUUACUGACAGGAAUAAUAAUUAGACUGUUUCCAGUAUCUGGACUGUAUGUUUAAGAGAUCAUCUGAGCUAGGUUAAAGUCCAUACUGGUGUAGACAUGCACUAAAUGGUAAAUGACUGAAUUACAUUACGCUAAUAUUAGCCAACAAAAGCAGUGAUAAAAGGAUUUGGCUAUAGGAACAAAAAAGACAGUGAUGUGAGUUUUGGAUACUGCAAAGGUUUCUGAGACACUGAAGAAAUGGCAGUCACGUCUACUAGCAGCAAUCUAAAUACAAAACUGUAGGAGUGAGAGGAGAGGAGAGGAGACAGUACAAAAGCUUCUGCUAUUAUUAGUCAUUGUGUAGAAGGUCUAGUGUUCAGAAUAGAGAAAACAAGGAAUUUGGGAUCUGACUUGUUAGACUGGAGUGCAUGGAAGAACUUGGAGCUGUGACAAUCUCUGAGGACACCCUGCCACAGAGUGUGCCUUACACUUUGCCCUUCCAAGGUCACAUUUAAAGCUGUAGUGGAUGCAUAUAUUUACCAGAAAGCCAAUGAGAUUUAAAGAUGGUCUAAAAACAUUUGAGCUGCCCUCAGCCCUGUGUCAGAAUAGCUGCUGUGCUCAGCACAUCACCAAGCAACUCAGAGGGGUACACAGGGCUUUUUAAUGCAUGACACUUUAACACAGUCCAAAGACUCUGUCAUGACACAUGCCAGCAGUGAUUCACUGCCUCUCAGGUGCCACGUGAUUAACCCGUCUCUCAUUUAUUCUCUCUAAUUAUUACUUAAAAAUAAUAAUAAUAAAAAAAUCUUCAUGUUCUCAUCUUUUUCCACAUAAAAAUGUCAACUUGUCAAAAGAGAGAGGAGCUGGAAAAAAUUCCUCUCCUUUUCACCUUGUCUGGCUUCUUUAAAACCAAGCUAUGCAAAGCUUUAGUGCAGCCUGACAAGACCUAACUGCUGAGAUUUCACAGGCACCGGGGGAAUGGAGGUGGGAGGGAAUGGGAGAAUUGAUCCUGUAAGGGCUCUGCCACAAGCUACUGCGUCUGCAGGGUCUCUCACAGACACCUCAGGGUUGAAGGAGGGCAGCUGAAAUGGAGCAGAGGGAAUCACAUUCAACAGGAAACACACUCCCCCCCUGGUGGCAGGACCAAACUAGUGGAAGGAAAUCUUCUGUCAGCACGUCAGAACAAAGGUGUUUCUCCUGGCAGCCCUUCACCUCCUGCAAGCUGAAUAUACCAGAAUGGUCAGUUUUAGGCUCUUUGGGAAGCCUUUCUUCUGUUUCCAUUUGAGCCAUAAAGCUUGAUUAAGAGUUCUGAGCUGGAAGAAGUGAUUACAGUGAUCAGGACUCUGGGAUCCCUUUUCAGACUGCCAGGAAGGAUGGGAGGCUUUGAGUACUCUGUCAUCCAGAGGAAUGCAUGGAAAAGGUUCAUAGGGAACCAUGGAAUUGCCUAUGCUUCUUCCAUUGGCUCCACAGUGAGCCUGCUCAUUUCCACAUACCCAAAGUCUAAGCAGUUGCGAUUAGCUGAGAGAAACUAGUUUACUUUUCAGGGGACUGAAUCUGUCAGCUCUGCAGUAUAUUCUUCAGUGCUAGUCCUGUAUUUCAUAUAGCCCUUGGUUAUCUGUGCUCAGGAAUAUGCUCAUCAUCUACGUUUACAUCAUAGGUGUGCAGAAAAGCAAGCCUAUGUGUGGGAAAGAGAGCCCUAACUCUUGUACUGAGCUACAGCUGAGUGUCUCCAUGCUCCUGGCACCUCCCAAGAAAGCACAGAAUGGAGGCAGGAGCUGAGACUGGCUGACCAGAAAAGUCUACAAGAAAGGGACUGGGACUUAGUGGGAGCAGUGGCUAAAGGAACCUUCUGGGAGAAAUUCCAAGGGUAAGGAGAGCAACUGAUACUUUGAGGAGGCAUAUAGAGCCAGGCAUACAGCAUCAUGAGGAUGGAAACAUAAAGCGGAGAACACCAGAGCCCGUUAACUCAAGCCUUGUGUGGUCUGUGCCCUCUUGCUCCCAUCUGCUGGGCCACUGUAUUCAGUGAAGAGAUUCUCACUCUUUUAGCUCAUAAACUGUGAGACACCCCACAGUGCAGGUUGUCUCAAUCCAGAGGAAGUGCAGUUACACAAUUACAGCGGGUGCAGCGUAGUCAUAAAAUUUUUGAAAGAAUGUUCUUUGGACAUAAUGGCAGCAUUUUGCCAAUAUUCUGUAACUCAAUAAACAAGCAGUAGAGCAUUGAUUCAUUGCUAGUGGAAAAAAGAAUCACAAUUCCCAAUAAUAACAUUUCUCAUUUCUUAUUUGACAAUAGCUGAUGGCAGCUUUUAUAGACCAACCUCUGCUGAGCACACAGCUGCAAGGAAAUGAACCCAUGCGUUAAUGUGCAACACUGUACUGCGUAGACUUAGCUGAGGAAUAAUUUGUACAAAUUGCUGAUGGAAACCAAAUCAAAAGAAAGAAGCCUGCUCUGAUUGCUGCUUGGGAGGGACAAAUCUAGAGGGGUAAGUGCACUUUGGACAGAGUCCACAAGGUGCCCUGAUUUUCCAGCUGAGCCUGGAUACAAACUCAAAUGUAAGCCCACCCUUUGCUCUUGGUAGUGAGUUCUCUCUUGCAUGUGUAAUGUGCAUGUGUAAUUUGCAUCUGAAUAAAUGUUCCUAACUGCAGGGAAGGAUUGAACAGUUUAGCGCUAGGUUAAGAAAGAAGAGGAAAAAUGAGUGAAAACACCGUAUGUAGGAAAUCAAGGGAACUUGUAUUCCUGGGGCCAAAAGAGGAUUUCUUAGAUUCUCCUCGACUCAGCAUUUCAGGUCAAAUCAUCACUUUGAUGAGAGCUACUUUUUGCCAGAGCUGCUCUUCGUGGUAAAAUGUUUUGCAGUUUGGUUUUUGAUCAGGAAUGUGUGAUGCUGUAGGCUAGUCAGGGCUUUUUAUGUAAGGCCAAAGUUUACAAUGAAGGGCUAAGUUGGUGUUAUACCUCAGUAUGUAUUUAAAUUCAGAUGAAAAGCAGUCUUGAUCACUUUAUACCUCUUGUCCCUCCAGGUGCUCACUGGGUCUUUUGACACAGUCUGAGAGGAGAUGCUUCACAACAUG
Gallus gallus (chicken) is the source of this 5981-nucleotide long non-coding RNA. RefSeq lists it as uncharacterized. The record is from RefSeq and is a predicted model, not a curated record. NCBI's taxonomy places the organism in Eukaryota, Metazoa, Chordata, Aves, Galliformes, Phasianidae. The transcript has 3 exons.